Molecule: ribosomal RNA, 433 nt
Filed under: uncultured bacterium
Lineage: Bacteria
Description: partial 16S ribosomal RNA
Rfam family: Bacterial small subunit ribosomal RNA
Source: RNAcentral
AACGAACGCUGGCGGCAUGCCUAACACAUGCAAGUCGAACGAGACCUUCGGGUCUAGUGGCGCACGGGUGCGUAACGCGUGGGAACCUGCCCUUAGGUUCGGAAUAACUCCCCGAAAGGGGUGCUAAUACCGGAUAAUGUUUUCGGGCCAAAGAUUUAUCGCCUUUGGAUGGGCCCGCGUUGGAUUAGCUAGUUGGUAGGGUAAAAGCCUACCAAGGCGACGAUCCAUAGCUGGUCUGAGAGGAUGAUCAGCCACACUGGGACUGAGACACGGCCCAGACUCCUACGGGAGGCAGCAGUGGGGAAUAUUGGACAAUGGGCGAAAGCCUGAUCCAGCAAUGCCGCGUGAGUGAUGAAGGCCUUAGGGUUGUAAAGCUCUUUUACCCGGGAUGAUAAUGACAGUACCGGGAGAAUAAGCUCCGGCUAACUCCGUG